This 980-nucleotide unclassified non-coding RNA is filed under the name Hevea brasiliensis (rubber tree). Lineage: Eukaryota; Viridiplantae; Streptophyta; Magnoliopsida; Malpighiales; Euphorbiaceae. The record is from RNAcentral.
CAGAACUUUCUUCAAGCUUAAUAUUCAUAAUCUUCUUUUGUUCUCCCUCCGUUAAGUAUGUAGAUCGUUGUAGAUCCUUAUUAGUAUCAUCUUGUAUCCUUUUACCUGCAGAAGUUUCAUCCUCGUUGUGUCCAUGCACGUAGUCCAUUAAGUUUGAGAGAGCUAUAUUGAAAUCUGUAAGCUGAGCUCUUGUUUCGUCUACAGCACUAGCAGAGUUCAUAUCAGUGGACAGGCUCUUCUGAGCUUUAUCUAGUAUUGCUUGCAAAUACUUUCCCUGUGCUUCUAUUCUCAUUUGCAGCUUCUGUUGAACCUCAAGCUGCUCAUGUAAUCUUUUCUGGACGUCAAUCUGACGCCUCAGCGCCUCACUAAUUGGAGCUUCUCCUUGCAUACCAUCCAUGCUUGAUGAAGUGAUACUCGGUCCUGAGGAAUGCAAACUGAAUUGUCUGAAUGACUCCCCUGCAAUAUUCUCUCUGUUUUGUUCUGCUGCAUUUUGUUUCUUGGUCUGCUGUCCAAGUCUAUACUUCUGCAAAUGACUCUUCAAAUGAUACAAUGUCAAUCCCUUCAAUCCCAUUAACCUUAGUACUGACUUGGGAGUUGCUUUAUCAGGUCCACCAAGCUUAGUUACAGCAUCAACAAAACGAUCAUGUAAAUCAGCAGUCCACCUCAAUCUUGGCUUUGGGUCCCUUGUCAUCACCACCCCAUUUUCAUACCCAUACCCCAUAUCUCCUCCCCCAUUAUACAUCCUAUCCAUGAACCCACCACUCCCAAAUUCCUCAAAAUCCUCAAAACUCUUCCACAAGUCACUAAAGACACUAAAUUUAAUCACCCCAAAAAGCUUAUUAAGUAAAAUAAACAGUUUCAACAACUCCCAAGUGGAAAAAGAACCAAAUGAUCAACUAAAAAUUGAAUCUUUUUUCUUUGGGGGUCCAUAAAAAGUGUCAAAGAAAUCAAAUACAGAAGAAUUUGUUUUUAAAACUUUG